CCGGCCUUGAACUACAUUUCCCACAGCCCCUCGGCCGCUUUUGGAAACAACUUUGCCUGUCUGGUUCUCCUGCGAAACCCUCAAAAGUCGUCGCGCUCCAAGUGGGCAAGGGAGUCUGGGCGCGGCGGGCGCUCAGUGCAGUUCUCUGGAUGAAGAACCCCGAGGAAAGGAAAACAUUACUGAGCAUAUCUGAAAACUAAGCUCAAGGUCAGGGAUUUUGUUGUUGUACUUGUUGUUUUUGUUUUUCAGAACAGGAAGUUUUUGCUCUCCUUCUAUUGAAAUGGUUAGGUAACUAUCAGGCAGGGCCUUGAGAUGUACUUUGACUAACAGAAUGUGGUGGAAGUGACACUGUGAAACUUCCCAGACAAAGCCUUAGGACGGCUUGCAGCUUUUGUCCUUUCCCUCCUCCUGCCCUGAGAACACCAUGUGCUGAAGGCUAAGACUAGCUUGCUUGAAGAUGAAACGUCACUUGGAGACAGUGGCCCAGCUGACAGUCAUCAACAACUGCCAGCUAUUUCAGUGAGACCAUCUUGGACCAUCCAGCCCCCACCAAGCCACCAGCAGGCUGCUAUAACUUAAGGGAGAUCAGCAGAAGAACCGUUUAGCCAAGCCAAGUGCAAAUUGCCGACCCCCAGAAUAAUGAGCUAAUUACUGUUUUUUGUUUUAAGCCACACACUUUUGGUGUAGUUACAUAGUAAUAGAUAACUGAAACAGGUAUAAGACUUUCUAGACUUUUCUGUCACUCUAUAUUGAUGUAAUUGUAUUGGUCAACUUGUUUUGUAAAGUGAUUUCUCUGCUAUUAUAGCUUGAAAAUAUUCCAUAUCCUUAAUUAUUUUCUGCAAUUUUGCAUUUGUCUUAGUAUUCUAUAACAUGGAUAUUUUGUAAUUUAUUUAACUAAUAACUUUCCUGAGCAACUCAUCUUUGCUGUCCAACUUCCCAUGUCUUCACCAACUUUACAUUCCAUUCCAGGACCUUAUAGGGACAUGGGUUCAUGUCAUUUCAGGAGCAUGUAGACUCAGGAAUGUGGCAUUGACUUCUGCUGAGUGGAGUAUAGGUGACUCCCCCCACUCAGAGGAAUUUAUUCAAGUGUGUGAUAUAGGACCUAUAUACAUUUACACAUUUAUUUAAUCAACUGGGUCUCCCUGAUUACAAUAUCUCUUUUUCCUUUUCCAAUUCAAAAUCUGCAUUCUGGAGCCAUCUUACUUUCUUCACCAUGACUCACUGGGGAAUGUGACUCUUUAGGGUGCUUAGCUAAUUUUCUGAAGGAUUGCUUUAAGAUUCCUAGAGGUGGAAAUGGGCCUCUGUGCUGUGUUAUUUCUGAAGUGUCAUCAUCCUGAUCCUUCAGAUUACUUUUUACUUCCUUUUCUGCCUGAUGAUCAAGGGAAUGGUCUGGAUUUCUGCAUAGCCACAUCAGGCCUAAGUCCCAUUUCUUCUCCUCUGUGUAGGAUUUAUUAUUAAUUAAUUAAUUUCCGAGGCAGAUUUGAUUUCCUUGUUGGAACAAUGGCUGGUGGAGAGGUUGACAGUGAGAGAGCUGAGCCUAGGUAGGUGAGGGGCAAGCAGUAAGAGGGAAUCCUUGUGUAUAAAACCUUAGGACUCAAUGUAGUAUUGGUACUACUUUAAGGUAGUACUCGUGUUACUCAUCUGACAGAUUUCAUGUCUAUGAAGAAAGCUGAGGCCUCUUCAGCCAGAAUUCAAACCACAACACUGUACAUCACGUAUCAUAUACACAUCUCCUAUUAUGUCUUCUGCCUUCAAAGAUGGAAGAAUUAGCUCUGUUAUAUUUUCUGAUUGUAAAAUUAGUAGCUUCUUAAUUCAGAAAUUUAGUGAAUACGGAAAAGCUUAAAGUAAAGCUCACCUAGAAACAGCUUUUUUGAACAUGUUAUUCCAAAUCAUUUCACCUGUUUCUCUGUGAAUUAGCACAUGGAUAUAGGUAAAUAGGAUUCUUUCAUUCAAAACAAAAUCAUACUGCCUUGUAAUCUGCCUUCUUCAUCUAACAAAAUAUAGGUGCAUAUAGAUUUUCAUGUCAUCAAAUUACAAACUGUGUUAUAAUUUUUUAACUACAUUGUCUGGAUAUACUAUAAUUUAUUUAACCAUUUCCCUAUUGUAGAAUAUUUAAGUUCUUUCUGGCUUUUCCUCAUUAUUAUGCAGUGUUUUACUGCACACUCCUUUUUGUGUACAUGUAUAGUUACAUCUUUUGGACAAAGUCUCAGAAAUAUUGUUGAGAAUGAGGCUUUCAUAGUUAAAACCUGAUUGUACAUCUUUAUCAGUUGCCCUGCUUAAAUUUUCACCAAUAUUCAACAUACAAUGAAAGUGUCAAUUCUACUAAUAUAGGCUAUCAUCAGUCUUUUAAAUGUCGCAAUUUCUAGUGGAAGUUGUGUUUGUUUAAAUGAAUUAUCCAUGCUCAGUUUUCACUCAGUGGAAUAAAAUCUAGGCUUCUGAGGCAAAAACCAGAAUUGAAAGAGAAUUGGUUUUGUAGUUAGAGAAAUGUGGAUUCAAAACAUAGAUCUGCUGGGGCCAGCCCCUUUGUGUAGUGCUUGACUUCAACACCCCUUCAGCAGCCCAGGUUCACAGGUUCAGAUCCCGGGCUCGGACCUGCACCACUGUCAGCCAUGCUGUGGUGGUGACCCACAUACAAAGUGAGGGAAGAUUGGCACAGGUGUCAGCUCAGGCCUAAUCUUUCUCAGCAAAACAAACAAACAAAACUUAAGAUCUGCCAUUUACUUUGAGCAUGUGUGAUUUCUUUUCUUUCAUUUUUAAUAAGACUUUUGUACAAUAUAGAGCAAAGAUCUUAAAAUCAUAACUUGAUGAUUUGUUUUAUAAACCCGUACAACCACCAUUUGAUAAACUUUUCAACAUCCCAGAAAGCUCCCUCAUGUCUCUUCCCAAUCAUUAUACCCAAAAGUUAAUCAUUAUUUUGACCUCUAUCACAAUAGAUUAAUUUUGUCUGACUUUGAAUCUUCUAUAAAUGGAAUCAUACAGUA
Long non-coding RNA from Equus quagga, 2981 nucleotides. RefSeq lists it as uncharacterized. The record is from RefSeq and is a predicted model, not a curated record. Lineage: Eukaryota; Metazoa; Chordata; Mammalia; Perissodactyla; Equidae. The transcript has 2 exons.